UGCUAUACAUGCAAGUCGAACGAACUCUGGUAUUGAUUGGUGCUUGCAUCAUGAUUUACAUUUGAGUGAGUGGCGAACUGGUGAGUAACACGUGGGAAACCUGCCCAGAAGCGGGGGAUAACACCUGGAAACAGAUGCUAAUACCGCAUAACAACUUGGACCGCAUGGUCCGAGCUUGAAAGAUGGCUUCGGCUAUCACUUUUGGAUGGUCCCGCGGCGUAUUAGCUAGAUGGUGGGGUAACGGCUCACCAUGGCAAUGAUACGUAGCCGACCUGAGAGGGUAAUCGGCCACAUUGGGACUGAGACACGGCCCAAACUCCUACGGGAGGCAGCAGUAGGGAAUCUUCCACAAUGGACGAAAGUCUGAUGGAGCAACGCCGCGUGAGUGAAGAAGGGUUUCGGCUCGUAAAACUCUGUUGUUAAAGAAGAACAUAUCUGAGAGUAACUGUUCAGGUAUUGACGGUAUUUAACCAGAAAGCCACGGCUAACUACGUGCCAGCAGCCGCGGUAAUACGUAGGUGGCAAGCGUUGUCCGGAUUUAUUGGGCGUAAAGCGAGCGCAGGCGGUUUUUUAAGUCUGAUGUGAAAGCCUUCGGCUCAACCGAAGAAGUGCAUCGGAAACUGGGAAACUUGAGUGCAGAAGAGGACAGUGGAACUCCAUGUGUAGCGGUGAAAUGCGUAGAUAUAUGGAAGAACACCAGUGGCGAAGGCGGCUGUCUGGUCUGUAACUGACGCUGAGGCUCGAAAGUAUGGGUAGCAAACAGGAUUAGAUACCCUGGUAGUCCAUACCGUAAACGAUGAAUGCUAAGUGUUGGAGGGUUUCCGCCCUUCAGUGCUGCAGCUAACGCAUUAAGCAUUCCGCCUGGGGAGUACGGCCGCAAGGCUGAAACUCAAAGGAAUUGACGGGGGCCCGCACAAGCGGUGGAGCAUGUGGUUUAAUUCGAAGCUACGCGAAAAACCUUACCAGGUCUUGACAUACUAUGCAAAUCUAAGAAAUUAGACGUUCCCUUCGGGGACAUGGAUACAGGUGGUGCAUGGUUGUCGUCAGCUCGUGUCGUGAGAUGUUGGGUUAAGUCCCGCAACGAGCGCAACCCUUAUUAUCAGUUGCCAGCAUUAAGUUGGGCACUCUGGUGAGACUGCCGGUGACAAACCGGAGGAAGGUGGGGAUGACGUCAAAUCAUCAUGCCCCUUAUGACCUGGGCUACACACGUGCUACAAUGGAUGGUACAACGAGUUGCGAACUCGCGAGAGUAAGCUAAUCUCUUAAAGCCAUUCUCAGUUCGGAUUGUAGGCUGCAACUCGCCUACAUGAAGUCGGAAUCGCUAGUAAUCGCGGAUCAGCAUGCCGCGGUGAAUACGUUCCCGGGCCUUGUACACACCGCCCGUCACACCAUGAGAGUUUGUAACACCCAAAGUCGGUGGGGUAACCUUUUAGGAACCAGCCGCCUAA
Molecule: ribosomal RNA, 1448 nt
Filed under: Lactiplantibacillus plantarum
Lineage: Bacteria; Bacillati; Bacillota; Bacilli; Lactobacillales; Lactobacillaceae
Description: bacterial SSU rRNA
Rfam family: Bacterial small subunit ribosomal RNA
Source: RNAcentral